AAGGGGCUUCGGCCCUGAGUAGAGUGGCAAACGGGUGAGUAACGCGUGGGUGACCUGCCCUUGAGUGGGGGAUAACGUUCCGAAAGGGACGCUAAUACCGCAUAACAUCCUGCUUUUGAACAGGUGGAGAUCAAAGCCGGGGACCGCAAGGCCUGGCGCUUGAGGAGGGGCCCGCGUCCGAUUAGCUAGUUGGUAGGGUAAUGGCCUACCAAGGCGACGAUCGGUAGCCGGCCUGAGAGGGCGGACGGCCACACUGGGACUGAGACACGGCCCAGACUCCUACGGGAGGCAGCAGUGGGGAAUUGUUCGCAAUGGGCGCAAGCCUGACGACGCAACGCCGCGUGGAGGAUGAAGGUCUUCGGA
RNAcentral lists this ribosomal RNA (363 nucleotides) under uncultured bacterium. Its description in RNAcentral is "bacterial SSU rRNA". It matches the Rfam family "Bacterial small subunit ribosomal RNA", at positions 72 to 422 of the family's 1533-position model. The record is from RNAcentral.